Molecule: ribosomal RNA, 669 nt
Filed under: Triticum aestivum (bread wheat)
Lineage: Eukaryota; Viridiplantae; Streptophyta; Magnoliopsida; Poales; Poaceae
Description: partial small subunit ribosomal RNA
Source: RNAcentral
GAAGGUUUUGUCGAUCCUAAGAAUGCUGACAAGGUGUGCAAGCUCCAACGCUCGAUUUAUGGGCUGGUGCAAGCAUCUCGGAGUUGGAACAUUCGCUUUGAUGAGAUGAUCAAAGCGUUUGGGUUUAUGCAGACUUAUGGAGAAGCCUGCAUUUACAAGAAAGUGAGUGGGAGCUCUGUAGCAUUUCACAUAUUGUAUGUGGAUGACAUACUGUUGAUGGGAAAUGAUAUAGAAUUCUUGAAAAGCAUAAAGGCCUACUUGAACAAGUGUUUUUCAAUGAAGGACCUUGGAGAAGCUGCUUAUAUAUUAGGCAUCAAGAUCUAUAGAGAUAGAUCGAGACGCCUCAUUGGUCUUUCACAGAGUACGUACCUUGACAAGAUAUUGAAGAAGUUCAAACUGGAUCAGUCAAAGAAGGGGUUCUUGCCUGUAUUGCAAGGUACGAGAUUGAGCACGGCUCAAUGCCCGACCAUGACAGAAGAUAGAGAAAAUAUGAGUGUCGUCCCCUAUGCCUCGGCCAUAGGGUCUAUCAUGUAUGCUAUGCUGUGUACCAGACCUGAUGUAAACCUUGCCGUAAGUUUGGUAGGAAGGUACCAAAGUAAUCCCGGCAUGGAACACUGGACAGCGGUCAAGAAUAUCCUGAAGUACCUGAAAAGGACCAAGGAAAUGUUU